RNAcentral lists this ribosomal RNA (256 nucleotides) under uncultured bacterium. RNAcentral describes it as "partial 16S ribosomal RNA". It matches the Rfam family "Bacterial small subunit ribosomal RNA", at positions 521 to 776 of the family's 1533-position model. The record is from RNAcentral.
UAAUACGGAGGGUGCAAGCGUUAAUCGGAAUUACUGGGCGUAAAGCGCACGUAGGUGGUUUUUUAAGCCAGCUGUGAAAUCCCCGGGCUCAACCUGGGACUUGCAGUUGGUACUGGAAAGCUAGAGUAGGGUAGAGGGGUGUGGAAUUCCAGGUGUAGCGGUGAAAUGCGUAGAUAUCUGGAGGAACAUCAGUGGCGAAGGCGACACCCUGGACUCAUACUGACACUGAGGUGCGAAAGCGUGGGGAGCAAACAGG